Salvia splendens (bonfire salvia) is the source of this 74-nucleotide small nucleolar RNA. RefSeq annotates it as small nucleolar RNA Z105. Lineage: Eukaryota; Viridiplantae; Streptophyta; Magnoliopsida; Lamiales; Lamiaceae. The record is from RefSeq and is a predicted model, not a curated record. The transcript has a single exon.
CUUGCUUAAUGAGGAUAAACCUUAAAUUAUUCCGAUAGUAUAUGAAUGGAUAAUUUACCUCCUACUCAUUCUGA